Helianthus annuus (common sunflower) is the source of this 1450-nucleotide long non-coding RNA. RefSeq lists it as uncharacterized. The transcript has 4 exons. The record is from RefSeq and is a predicted model, not a curated record. NCBI's taxonomy places the organism in Eukaryota, Viridiplantae, Streptophyta, Magnoliopsida, Asterales, Asteraceae.
UUUGUAACACAAGUAGGCAUUGACUGGUUGUACAUUGAGCUUCAGCUGUGUUUCAUGCUAUAGGCUGUAGUAAGUUAUGUUUCUUUAAUUGUACACUUAUAGUCAUCUGUGCUUCCACCUUUAUUACAACUGUCCACCUACGUGUCCCACAACCUCUGGUAUACAAUCUCCAUGUCUCGAAUCUAUCACUAACCCAGCACUGCCGCUUGAAAAAGUCGCCAUUGCCUAAUCGGAUCGGAGUGUGGGAGUCUAAUGGUGGAGCCAGUUCCAUCGGCAAAUAGACUACGAUGUUCUUCUUGCAACACCGGUGAACCAAUGAUGAGGGCACGCUGUGCAACAGCGAGGGACGAUGUGUGUCAACGUGGUUCACGGUGGCGCUUAGGGUUCCGGUGACCGUUUUUCUUAAUAUGCGAUUUAGGGUUUCAUUUAUGUUUCGAAAUCGUGGGAAAUAUUUUGAUUAUACACACUGAAUCUUACUGGUGAUUGUCGUUUCGAAUUCGUGAGAAGUUGGGAAUUAAUAUUAGUUGUUUAGGCUAAUUUUAGGGUUUUUGUUGAGUCUAUUGAUGUGUUCUGGCCAUUUUCUUCUUAUUCUUUUAGUGGCUUUUGAGGAGGUGAAGAAAGAGCUUAAUCUGGUUCUAUCGUUUCCUCAACAGUCUUGCUCGCCAAAAAUAUGAUGAUGCGGCUGAAGCUUCUGUUAAUAAACAGAUUAAACGAGUUUUUUUUUUUUUCAGUUGAUGAUUGAUGUGUUUGAGUACAGGUUUUUUAGUGUUAAUUUAUGUAAAUUUUUGCAACUGAAGUAUGGAAUAUUUGGUAAGUGUUUGAUAAAAGUCAAAGAAAUCUCUCAGAAGUAACAAUAUAAAUUAACAGGUAAGGUGAAGGGGAUAUGAACAUAUAACCAACAAGUAAUAUCCUAUAGUUUAUACAACAACAUAAUUUUAAAAAUAAUGUGGUUAAAGAUGGUAGACCUUGACUUAUCAAAUUAUCUUUGUAUUUUAUCCAGGUGAAAGGUGAAUGGAUCAAUAGUUCAGCAGGGUUGGCUUUUACAGCUCACACCAUCCAUGUAUCUUUUGAAGAGCUCAAGUGUUCCAUACAUAGUCAAACAUCCCAAUUAACUUUCUUCCGCUCAAGCAAUCACACGGGUCUUUUUAUGUUCAUAGAAGAGUGGUUCUGACUGGUGAGAUAGAGGUUGUAAGUUCAUCAUGGCGUCAAGAUGUUAGGUUUAGACUCUCAUGAAAGACCUUGCAAAACUGCAAGUUGAGAAUAACCAACUUCCAACACUGAAGGUUAAUAGAUGAUAUUGCAAUCUGCUUUUUCUAGCAUUAUUAUUUUGUAAGAUGUUAUUGCAUUCAUGUUGGUACCCAAUCAAAACGCCGUUUGUGUGUAGAAAGUGUGUAAUUUGCCCCCUUUUUACUCUACCAAUUAUAAGUUUAUAGAACUACUAGGCUUAGCG